ACCCCCGUUGGCCUCCCAAAGUGCUGGGAUUACAGGCGUGAAUGAAUCACAAUCUUAUUUUUCACUACUUUUUAUUAUUCAAUAUAAAGUUCAUAUUCAAACUUCGCCAGUGUCCCCAAAAGGAUCUUUAUAGCUGUGCUUUUCACCUAGAGGAUCUGAUCAAGGAUUAUGCAUUGCAUUUAUUAAUAAUACCCCCCACACCUUCCUUUUUUUUUUGGAGGCGGAGGGGUCUUUCCAUGACAUCGACUUAUUGGAAGAGUCUAGGUCAACUGUUUUGUAGAUUGUUGCACAAUUUGGAUUUGUCUGAUUUGUCCCUCACUGGUAGAGUCAGGUUUUUUGGUUUCAAGAAUACUACAUAGGUGAUAUCAUGUCCUCAGUGAAUUAUAUCACAAGACUCAGUUUGACCCAUAUUAGUAAUGGCAGUUUUGGCCUCUUGGUUAAAGUAACAUUCACCAAAUUAUCCAGUGUAAAGGUAGCUUUUUCUUUUUGUAAUUAAUGAUUACCUGUGGGAUGACACUAUGAGACUAUAAAUAUCCUGUUUAUAUUUUGCAACUCUGAGAGUUAUGAAAUAAAAGAAUUUUAGACACUCUA
This is a long non-coding RNA of Homo sapiens (human), 591 nucleotides long. RefSeq lists it as uncharacterized. The transcript is spliced from 2 exons. Lineage: Eukaryota; Metazoa; Chordata; Mammalia; Primates; Hominidae. The record is from RefSeq and is a predicted model, not a curated record.